AUCUUCAUCUUUUUCUCUCCAAUAUGCUCGUGAAGAACUUGGAAUCCGAAAAAAUCUAGAAGCUCUGGAGAUUUCUUCUUCACCACCAUAUAUAGAUUCAUCAGACUCACCAACUUUCAUCAAAAAAUCGAAAUCGAAAUCGAAUCGUCGGAAAAUUGUUCAAAUUUCGAAAUCACUCAAAGAAAAUGUCGCUAAUUCCAAGCUUCUUCGGCAGCAACAGACGAAUCAACAACACCAUCUUCGAUCCAUUCUCACUCGACGUUUGGGAUCAUCCAUUCAAGGAACUUCAAUUCCCGUCUUCUUCAUCGUCAUCGGCGAUAGCGAACGCACGUGUGGACUGGAAAGAGACGGAGGAGGCGCACGUGUUCAAGGCGGAUUUGCCAGGGAUGAAGAAAGAAGAGGUUAAAGUAGAGAUAGAGGAUGAUACUGUGCUUAAGAUCAGCGGAGAGAGACACGUUGAGAAAGAGGAGAAGCAGGACACGUGGCAUCGUGUAGAGAGAUCGAGUGGGGGAUUCUCGAGGAAGUUUAGGUUACCGGAGAAUGUGAAGAUGGAUCAAGUUAAGGCUUCUAUGGAGAAUGGAGUUUUGACUGUGACUGUGCCUAAGGUUGAGACUAAGAAGAAGGCUCAAAAAGCGUGAAGGAAGGAAUCUGAGGUACCUGCUCAAGUGAAUCAGAUACAGGAGGAUUUUAGGAGAGCUAAUGAGCAAGUAGCAAUGCUUAAGAAAGAUAAAGGUAGAGCUCUUGACAAAGUAAGCCAAUGACAAACUCAGACAGGGAUUGUCAGCUUAGCAUCGUGUCGAGAAGAGUAGUGAGAACAAUGGGGAAUUAAGGCAGUUCACAAAAACGAAAACUCUUGGAAGAAAAGCCAUAUGGAACUUGCAACUGAGUUGCAAAAACUGAAAGAAGAAGAAGAAGAAGAUAAAAGCAACAAAGCUAUGGAAAGAUUAACUUUGGAUUUGCAAGCAAGUAUUUUUAAAGCAAGGGAAGCAAAGGAGAAGCUCUUGAUAUGUCAACCAUAGCUUGAACAUUAUGGAGCCCAGAUUAAAAGUUAUAACGUGGCUGCAAAAGAUACAAAUGAAAACUAUGAAAAAAUUCUUGAAGACUGAGAGAAGAAGACACCCAAAAUGAGUUUGUCAAUUCUAUGACUAUGUGGGGAACAGCGAAAACUCCAUUUGUGUGGAAAAAUCGGGAAUUUGGUAAGGUAAAUUUGUUUAACCUUGAGGAAAAUGGGAAGAAGAAGAUGCUUGUAUGAAAACUAAACUGAAGGAACUUGAAAAGAAGAAUGAGGAUCUGUAGGAAAGAGUUGGAGAAGCAGAAACUUAAAGAAAGCCUGUUGGACAAAAAAGUCAAGCUAAAGAAGGUUAAGUUAGAAAACAGAAAGCUCAGAGCAAUGGAGGUUUGUUCUUUUGAAAAACUCGAUGAGUCAUCAAAGGUAAAUGAAAGCUUGGUGGAUAAACUGCAGACUGAAGGAUAUAGCCUAUCUCAAGAAGAAUGAAGAGUUGUUAUCGGAAAAUGAGAGCUUAAUUGACAAAGAAACUAACCAACCAACCUGUGGAACAUUGUUCAAGAUGCUGAGAAGAGCUCCGAAAAAGGGAUUUUGCUGUCUGUAUGAAUUAGAGAUUGUUAAUACCAGACUGCAGAGCACUAAUCAAGAUUAGUUGAGAAAGAAGCCAAACGCAGAGUUUAAAACCAAGUCAAUGGAGUCUUCUUAACAUAACAAAAUUGAGGAGUUGUCACUAUAACUUCUUAAUUCCAGAAAGCGCGAUAACGGUGAAGGAAGGAAUCUGAGUUACCAGCUCAACUGAAUCAGAUUCAGGAGGAUUUUAGGAGAGCUAAUGAGCAAGUAGCAAUGCUUAAGAAUGAUGAAGCUAGAGCUCUUCAUUAUCUACUGAAAAAUUGACAAAGUAAAGCAAUGCCAAACUCAGACAUGCGUUGGCAGCUUAGAAUCGUGUUGAGGAGAGUAUUGAGAACAGUUGGGAACUAAAGUGUUUCACAAAAAUGAAAACUUUUGGUAGAAAGAGGUUGAGUCUAUUAGAAGCCAGAAUGCCUUGGGACAUUUCAGUUCUUCUCUCUACCAGGCCAAGUUUGCAUAUUAAAUGAAGAAACUUCCAAGCUAGAAAAGCAUGUUGCGUCAAUAACAUUGAAACCGGCCAAGGAGGGAAAGGUUAGAUCAAUAAAAAGACUUCAACAUCUCAUUUUUGGAACCUAUUGAAUGAAAAAGAUGGAACUUGCAACUGAGUUGGAAAACUGUAAGAAGAAGAAGGGAAAAGCAACAAAUCUUUGGUAAGCUUAACUUUGGAUUUGCAAGUAGUAUCUUCUUGAGAUGUCAAUCUUUGCUAGCACAUUGUGCAGCCCAGAUUAGAAGUUUGGGCUGCAAUAGAUACAAAUGAGAAGUAUGGAAAAAGGCUUGAAAGUGCAAGCAACGAAAUUGAUAGCCUGAGUGGGAAGAGCAAGAACUUCAUUUGAUCGUUUGUGUGAAGAAAUCGGGUGAAGAAAACUUUUCUCUAUGCAGGAAGAACUUGGCAAGGUGAAUUUUCUUAAUCUUAAGCAAAAUGAGAAGAAGCAGCCCGUAUAAAAUAUCAAACGUAAGGAUCUGUAGGAAAGAGUUGGAGAAAUGGAAACUGAAAGCAUAAAACUUGUUGGACAAAAAGGUCGAGCCAAAGAAUGUUGCUCUAGAAAACAAAAAGCCUCAGAGCAAUGGAGGUUUGUCCUCUUGAAAAAAUCGGUGAGUCGUCAAAUGUAAAUGAAAGCUUGGUGGAUAAACUGAAGACUGAAGGAGACAACCUAUCUCAAGAAGAUUAAAGAGUUUUCGGAAAAUGAGAGCUUAAUUGACAAAGAAACCAACCUGUGGAACAUUGUUCAAGAAGCUAAGAAUAGCUCAGAGAAAGGGAAAUUGCUUGCUGAAGCAAUGAAUUAGAGAUGGGUUAAUACCAAAUUAAAGAUCACUAAUCAAGAUUAGUUGAGAAAGAAGCCAAACGCAGAGUUGAAAAGGAAGUCAAUGGAGUCUUCAACAACUUAUCAUAACAACAUUGGGGAGUUGUCACUAUAAACUUAAUUCCGGGUAUGUGAAUUGGCUUCUUCCUCCGCAACUUCUCAUAUUCCAGAACACAAAGACUUAUAAACGAACCAUCCUUCACGUAUGUGUUGAAUUGAAAUGUGAAUGUGACUUGAUCAACAACAACUUCUCACUUUCCAAAACACAAUGACUUAAAACACCCAACGACGGUCUUUCUUUCUUUUCCUACCAAUAAAAUGUUAAAGUACACAAGAAAGACUUUUCAUUUAA
RNA transcript from Arabidopsis lyrata subsp. lyrata, 3286 nucleotides. It is a transcript of the gene named 17.6 kDa class I heat shock protein 1, with no coding region annotated. The transcript has 3 exons. The record is from RefSeq and is a predicted model, not a curated record. NCBI's taxonomy places the organism in Eukaryota, Viridiplantae, Streptophyta, Magnoliopsida, Brassicales, Brassicaceae.